Molecule: ribosomal RNA, 456 nt
Filed under: uncultured Pelotomaculum sp.
Lineage: Bacteria; Bacillati; Bacillota; Clostridia; Eubacteriales; Desulfotomaculaceae
Description: bacterial SSU rRNA
Rfam family: Bacterial small subunit ribosomal RNA
Source: RNAcentral
ACAAGCGGUGGAGCAUGUGGUUAAUUCGACGCAACGCGAAGAACCUUACCAGGGCUUGACAUCCCCUGACCGCGUAUGAAGACGUUUUCACCCUCGGGUGACAGGGAGACAGGUGGUGCAUGGUUGUCGUCAGCUCGUGUCGUGAGAUGUUGGGUUAAGUCCCGCAACGAGCGCAACCCCUACGUUUAGUUGCUAACGCGUGAAGGCGAGCACUCUAGACGAACUGCCGUUGACAAAACGGAGGAAGGUGGGAUGACGUCAAAUCAUCAUGCCCCUUAUGUUCUGGGCUACACACGUGCUACAAUGGCCGGUACAGACGGACGCAAAGCCGCGAGGUGGAGCAAAUCCUAAAAAGCCGGUCUCAGUUCGGAUUGCAGGCUGCAAUUCGCCUGCAUGAAGUCGGAAUCGCUAGUAAUCGCAGGUCAGCAUACUGCGGUGAAUACGUUCCCGGGCCUU